RNAcentral lists this ribosomal RNA (1211 nucleotides) under uncultured bacterium. Its description in RNAcentral is "bacterial SSU rRNA". It matches the Rfam family "Bacterial small subunit ribosomal RNA", at positions 138 to 1344 of the family's 1533-position model. The record is from RNAcentral.
GGGGGAUAACCUGGGGAAACCCAGGCUAAUACCGCAUACGUCCUACGGGAGAAAGCAGGGGAUCUUCGGACCUUGCGCUAUCGGAUGAGCCUAUGUCGGAUUAGCUUGUUGGUGAGGUAAUGGCUCACCAAGGCGACGAUCCGUAGCUGGUCUGAGAGGAUGAUCAGCCACAUCGGGACUGAGACACGGCCCGAACUCCUACGGGAGGCAGCAGUGGGGAAUAUUGGACAAUGGGCGAAAGCCUGAUCCAGCCAUGCCGCGUGUGUGAAGAAGGCCCUCGGGUUGUAAAGCACUUUCAGUGGGGAAGAAAGCCCCGGGAUUAAUACUCCCGAGGAAGGACAUCACCCACAGAAGAAGCACCGGCUAACUCCGUGCCAGCAGCCGCGGUAAUACGGAGGGUGCGAGCGUUAAUCGGAAUUACUGGGCGUAAAGCGCGCGUAGGCGGUCUGAUAAGCCGGUUGUGAAAGCCCCGGGCUCAACCUGGGAACGGCAUCCGGAACUGUCAGGCUAGAGUGCAGGAGAGGAAGGUAGAAUUCCCGGUGUAGCGGUGAAAUGCGUAGAGAUCGGGAGGAAUACCAGUGGCGAAGGCGGCCUUCUGGACUGACACUGACGCUGAGGUGCGAAAGCGUGGGUAGCGAACAGGAUUAGAUACCCUGGUAGUCCACGCCGUAAACGAUGUCGACUAGCCGUUGGGCUCCUCGAGAGCUUUGUGGCGCAGUUAACGCGAUAAGUCGACCGCCUGGGGAGUACGGCCGCAAGGUUAAAACUCAAAUGAAUUGACGGGGGCCCGCACAAGCGGUGGAGCAUGUGGUUUAAUUCGAUGCAACGCGAAGAACCUUACCUACCCUUGACAUCGUGCGAACUUUCCAGAGAUGGAUUGGUGCCUUCGGGAACGCACAGACAGGUGCUGCAUGGCUGUCGUCAGCUCGUGUUGUGAAAUGUUGGGUUAAGUCCCGUAACGAGCGCAACCCUUGUCCUUAUUUGCCAGCGCGUAAUGGCGGGAACUCUAAGGAGACUGCCGGUGACAAACCGGAGGAAGGUGGGGACGACGUCAAGUCAUCAUGGCCCUUACGGGUAGGGCUACACACGUGCUACAAUGGACAGUACAAAGGGUUGCAAAGCCGCGAGGUGGAGCUAAUCCCAUAAAGCUGUUCUCAGUCCGGAUCGGAGUCUGCAACUCGACUCCGUGAAGUCGGAAUCGUUAGUAAUCG